GACGAACGCUGGCGGCGUGCCUAACACAUGCAAGUCGAACGGGACUUAAGGGGCUUGCUCCUUAAGUUUAGUGGCGAACGGGUGAGUAACGCGUGAGAAACCUGCCUCUCAGUGGGGGACAACAGUUGGAAACGACUGCUAAUACCGCAUAACACAGUUGAACCGCAUGAUUUAACUGUCAAAGCUUUAUGUGCUGGAAGAUGGCCUCGCGUCUGAUUAGCUAGUUGGUGAGGUAACGGCUCACCAAGGCGACGAUCAGUAGCUGGUUUGAGAGGAUGAUCAGCCACAAUGGGACUGAGACACGGCCCAUACUCCUACGGGAGGCAGCAGUAGGGAAUUUUGCGCAAUGGGCGAAAGCCUGACACAGCAACGCCGCGUGAUUGAUGAAGCCCUUCGGGGUGUAAAGGAUCUGUCAGUGGGACGGAAACUUGACGGUACCCACAGAGGAAGCAUCGGCUAACUCCGUG
This 467-nucleotide ribosomal RNA is filed under the name uncultured bacterium. RNAcentral's name for it is "bacterial SSU rRNA". It matches the Rfam family "Bacterial small subunit ribosomal RNA", at positions 28 to 507 of the family's 1533-position model. The record is from RNAcentral.